AUUGUCCUUCAAGGCGGCAGGAGGGUGUGGAAAACCCACCAGUAUAGAAAUCCUCCGUGAGUCCUGGAGGACCGACUGGAGGUCCUGGGUUUAAUCAGCUGGCUGUUACUGCUCUUAGCAAGUGCUGAGAGCCGAGUGCCUGGGAACCUGCUCUUCACAGAGGAGUUGACACCAAGUUCUCAACCAGCAAGGUGAAGGAAAGGCUGGUAUUCCUGCACAGAAAGAUGCCAGAGGAGGACCUAUGACCCAAGAGGGCCUCCACAUCGAGGAGCACAGAUGUGCAGCUGUGGACCACAGAGAAGCCCUGCAUGUGUCUUCCUGGAGGCUGCUUGUGAUCUGACACUGCUGCUCAGUGAGGG
Non-coding RNA from Manis javanica (Malayan pangolin), 359 nucleotides. Lineage: Eukaryota; Metazoa; Chordata; Mammalia; Pholidota; Manidae. The record is from RefSeq and is a predicted model, not a curated record.